UUGAAAUAUUUGGCUAAAUUUAUUUAUAUUAAAAAAAAAAAAAGUAUUGUACAUCACUUAAUAAGUAGAAUAUUAGAAAACCACUUUUCAAACUGCUACACAAGAAAUGGUUAACUUUCUAAACAAUGACCUUCCAUAGUAUAUUUAAUUGACCUAACUCCAAUAACCUAAUUAAUUAACGAAGACAAAAUAUAAUCCCACACACAAUUGUAGGCCAGUUGUUUUAUUGUCACUUCUUCCAUACAAUGACAAAAUAUAUAUAGAUAUAUAUAUGAUUUUAAAAGUCAUCUGGCAGAAGAUAAGUUUUUUCUUUAGAAUUGUCUCCAUAAGAUGGGCAAAACUACUUUUGUAUCAUUAGCAGGACAGAACAUGAUCAGUAUUGACAGCCUUAAGAAAACUGUCUGAGGAAUAUCCAAGUGUUGUCAACAAAGCAAGCCAGUCAAAAUUAAGAUUGAGCAAUUAUUUCUUGGUUGUUUUUCUCUAGCCAACUUGCAGAAAACAAAACAAAAAAAUAAUCAAAAGUAUUUUCUUCUAACUAUUAGGAUCAGUAGACUCACAAAUGUUAAGCUGGAGUUUGUUUUAUUUAAAUGCUCUUUUAUAUUUAUGAAUAACAAUUACACUUUACCAGUUAAGUUAGAACAAUUUAAUAAGACAUUUCAAUUCAAAGCUGAUUAGUAUUUGUAGACUGCACAAAAUUUUGUUUUAAACCCAAAUAAAAAAAAAAAAAAAAGAAACAAAU
Non-coding RNA from Biomphalaria pfeifferi, 739 nucleotides. The record is from the annotation of a GenBank genome assembly. Lineage: Eukaryota; Metazoa; Mollusca; Gastropoda; Planorbidae.